AUGGCUCAGAUUGAACGCUGGCGGCAUGCCUUACACAUGCAAGUCGAACGGCAGCACGGGAGCUUGCUCCUGGUGGCGAGUGGCGAACGGGUGAGUAAUACAUCGGAACGUACCCUGAAGUGGGGGAUAACGUAGCGAAAGUUACGCUAAUACCGCAUAUUCUGUGAGCAGGAAAGAGGGGGAUCGCAAGACCUCUUGCUUUAGGAGCGGCCGAUGUCGGAUUAGCUAGUUGGUGAGGUAAAGGCUCACCAAGGCGACGAUCCGUAGCGGGUCUGAGAGGAUGAUCCGCCACACUGGGACUGAGACACGGCCCAGACUCCUACGGGAGGCAGCAGUGGGGAAUUUUGGACAAUGGGCGCAAGCCUGAUCCAGCCAUGCCGCGUGAGUGAAGAAGGCCUCGGGUUGUAAAGCUCUUUCGGUGGGGAAGAAAUUGCUUCGGUUAAUACCUGGAGUAGAUGACGGUACCCGCAUAAGAAGCACCGGCUAACUACGUG
This 494-nucleotide ribosomal RNA is filed under the name uncultured bacterium. Its description in RNAcentral is "bacterial SSU rRNA". It matches the Rfam family "Bacterial small subunit ribosomal RNA", at positions 19 to 507 of the family's 1533-position model. The record is from RNAcentral.